RNAcentral lists this small RNA (847 nucleotides) under Histoplasma capsulatum. RNAcentral's name for it is "hypothetical RNA". The record is from RNAcentral. Lineage: Eukaryota; Fungi; Ascomycota; Eurotiomycetes; Onygenales; Ajellomycetaceae. RNAcentral also lists the same sequence under 1 other name.
AUCACUGUGGAACCAAACACAUCCACAAUGUGUAUGGUGCUGCCAAGCGGAAGCGGCAGGCUUGGCUUUCUUCCUAGCGGCAAAGUAGCCGGUGCCCGAAAGAAACGAACGGGGCCAAUCUGAUGGCUAACUGCUUUCGAUUUGUGUAAGCGCCGUCAAGAACAACGCUGCCCAAUAGCAGCAACGAGCCGCAUGAGUGAGAUCUGUAACAGCGCAAGAAAAAACCCUCGAUGAGCAUAUUCCGUGAAUUUUGCUGCCAAUCGGUAUCUGCUCGACGCGAAUACUGUUGGAGGGAUUGGGUUGGGUGGUUCGUCCCCUCUAUUACCAGUUGGCUCGGGUGGUAGCUGAGCUCCUUUGCCCCAGAAGCCUAGAAUUAUCAACCCAGAGGAAGCAUAUGGAAUCGUGUUUAACUCUUACAAUUUAAUUCUUGCACAGGAGCGGCUCAUCUGAAUGCCUGAGUUCCCUAGUUGGCAUAAAUUUCGUGGAUCUGGGCAAGAGAGGAAGAGGGACCCUGAUACCUAGCCUAGUUAAGGUGUCGAGUUACACGACAAAGGCUACGGCUCGAAACCAUGCCCAACAGCCAAAGUAUUAUACGCAAGGACAUGGAGGAUCCAUGCAAGUUUCCUUAUACCCCGCUUUUCAAGGUCUUAAUGUAUCACGAGUUGCUCAACUUGGGCAAGCCGGCAACAGCUGCCGCCUCGAGUAGAUUGGUGGUUCAUAAUGCCGGAUUGACUCGCGCGUAGGCACAAAUAGGCAAGCAGGGUAUCAGGAGACUAUACGGCUAAUUCAAUUGAAAAUGGGCCAUGUCCUUACACACUCAGAAACACUUUUCCAAUGUAGGAGGCGC